Molecule: ribosomal RNA, 406 nt
Filed under: uncultured bacterium
Lineage: Bacteria
Description: partial 16S ribosomal RNA
Rfam family: Bacterial small subunit ribosomal RNA
Source: RNAcentral
GAUGAACGCUGACAGAAUGCUUAACACCUCAGCAAUUGAUUGGUGGCGGACGGGUGAGUAACGAGUAGAGAACUUGCCUCACAGCUAGGGACACCAUUUGGAAACGACUGCUAAUACCUAAUACUGUGAGAGAUCUUUGCGUCCCAUUAGCUAGUUGGAGAGGUAACGGCUCACCAAGGCGAUGAUGGGUAGCCGGCCUGAGAGGGUGAUCGGCCACAAGGGGACUGAGACACGGCCCUUACGCAUACGGGAGGAAGCAGUGGGGAAUAUUGAACAAUGGACCAAAGUCUGAUCCAGCAAUUCUGGGUGCAAGAUGAAGUUUUCGGAAUGAAAAGUGCUUUCAGUUGGGAAGCGGUACCAACAGAAGAAGUGACGGCUAAAUACGUGCCAGCAGCCGCGGUAAUAC